Molecule: ribosomal RNA, 636 nt
Filed under: Pediococcus pentosaceus
Lineage: Bacteria; Bacillati; Bacillota; Bacilli; Lactobacillales; Lactobacillaceae
Description: bacterial SSU rRNA
Rfam family: Bacterial small subunit ribosomal RNA
Source: RNAcentral
AUUAUGACGUACUUGUACUGAUUGAGAUUUUAACACGAAGUGAGUGGCGAACGGGUGAGUAACACGUGGGUAACCUGCCCAGAAGUAAGGGAUAACACCUGGAAACAGAUGCUAAUACCGUAUAACAGAAAAAACCUGAUGGUUUUCUUUUAAAAGAUGGCUCUGCUAUCACUUCUGGAUGGACCCGCGGCGUAUUAGCUAGUUGGUGAGGUAAAGGCUCACCAAGGCAGUGAUACGUAGCCGACCUGAGAGGGUAAUCGGCCACAUUGGGACUGAGACACGGCCCAGACUCCUACGGGAGGCAGCAGUAGGGAAUCUUCCACAAUGGACGCAAGUCUGAUGGAGCAACGCCGCGUGAGUGAAGAAGGAUUUCGGCUCGUAAAGCUCUGUUGUUAAAGAAGAACGUGGGUAAGAAUAACUGUUUACCCAGUGACGGUAUUUAACCAGAAAGCCACGGCUAACUACGUGCCAGCAGCCGCGGUAAUACGUAGGUGGCAAGCGUUAUCCGGAUUUAUUGGGCGUAAAGCGAGCGCAGGCGGUCUUUUAAGUCUAAUGUGAAAGCCUUCGGCUCAACCGAAGAAGUGCAUUGGAAACUGGGAGACUUGAGUGCAGAAGAGGACAGUGGAACUCCAUGUG